Molecule: non-coding RNA, 613 nt
Organism: Zonotrichia albicollis (white-throated sparrow)
Lineage: Eukaryota; Metazoa; Chordata; Aves; Passeriformes; Passerellidae
Source: RefSeq, a predicted model, not a curated record
UUCCGUCCCCGGGGAUUCCGCAGCUCGGCACGGUCUGACCGGGGCCGCUCCGCCACCCUUUGUGCUGCAGGCUGCUUUAACCCCUUCUGCGCCCUUCAGAGUUGCAGCAGAGGCUUGCGGGGAAUAAUCCCAGCUGGUCCAGAUUAUUAUUUAUCGCUAAUUUUGCAAAAGAAAUUUACUUGUCUGAUUGCCUUUUCAUCCACACAUUGUCCUUAUCUGCACAGCAUCUUGUUCUGACCUCCCUUCCUUCUCAUCCCAUGUCUCUUUCUAGCAGCCACAAAAAAAAUCCUUGCCUGUGAUUCCUGCCCUUUUGUUUGGAUUAAGCAGCUAUUAUUCCCCUUGUUUGAAUACCAUUUCUGCAAAGUGUUAAACUUGUUGAUCCAACCUAGUGCCUAUAGUGAUGAACCUAGAUGUCACUUCUGUGGAGGAGCUGCUUAAUCUUUUCUGAAUUGUGGCCAUUCCAGUCUUCUCUGAAAUUAAGAAAAGGCUCCUUUAAAUUUAAUUAAAAUGGCCAACGAAGAAAAAAGAUCCAAAGGAGGGAAAGGUUUCAAAGUGAACCUCAUCAAAGAUCCAGCACAAGAGAUGGGUCUUGUUACUGCUCCAGCAGCCUCAA